Molecule: ribosomal RNA, 468 nt
Filed under: uncultured bacterium
Lineage: Bacteria
Description: partial 16S ribosomal RNA
Rfam family: Bacterial small subunit ribosomal RNA
Source: RNAcentral
GACGAACGCUGGCGGCGUGCUUAACACAUGCAAGUCGAACGGAAAGGCCCUGCUUUUGUGGGGUGCUCGAGUGGCGAACGGGUGAGUAACACGUGAGUAACCUGCCCUUGACUUUGGGAUAACUUCAGGAAACUGGGGCUAAUACCGGAUAGGAGCUCCUGCUGCAUGGUGGGGGUUGGAAAGUUUCGGCGGUUGGGGAUGGACUCGCGGCUUAUCAGCUUGUUGGUGGGGUAGUGGCUUACCAAGGCUUUGACGGGUAGCCGGACUGAGAGGGUGACCGGCCACAUUGGGACUGAGAUACGGCCCAGACUCCUACUGGAGGCAGCAGUGGGGAAUAUUGCACAAUGGGCGGAAGCCUGAUGCAGCAACGCCGCGUGCGGGAUGACGGCCUUCGGGUUGUAAACCGCUUUCGCCUGUGACGAAGCGUGAGUGACGGUAAUGGGUAAAGAAGCACCGGCUAACUACGUG